RNAcentral lists this ribosomal RNA (253 nucleotides) under uncultured bacterium. Its description in RNAcentral is "partial 16S ribosomal RNA". It matches the Rfam family "Bacterial small subunit ribosomal RNA", at positions 524 to 776 of the family's 1533-position model. The record is from RNAcentral.
UACAGAGGGGGCAAGCGUUGUUCGGAAUUACUGGGCGUAAAGGGCGCGUAGGUGGCCUUCUUAGUCAGACGUGAAAUCCCCAGGCUUAACCUGGGAACUGCGUCUGAUACUGGAAGGCUAGAGUUCGGGAGAGGAAUGUGGAAUUCCAGGUGUAGCGGUGAAAUGCGUAGAUAUCUGGAGGAACACCGGUGGCGAAGGCGGCAUUCUGGGCCGAAACUGACGCUGAGGCUCGAAAGCCAGGGGAGCAAACGGG